ACCAGAAAGGGACGGCUAAAUACGUGCCCAGCAGCCGCGGUAAUACGUAUGUCCCCGAGCGUUAUCCGGAUUUAUUGGGCGUAAAGCGAGCGCAGACGGUUUAUUAAGUCUGAUGUGAAAGCCCGGAGCUCAACUCCGGAAUGGCAUUGGAAACUGGUUAACUUGAGUGCAGUAGAGGUAAGUGGAACUCCAUGUGUAGCGGUGGAAUGCGUAGAUAUAUGGAAGAACACCAGUGGCGAAGGCGGCUUACUGGACUGCAACUGACGUUGAGGCUCGAAAGUGUGGGUAGCAAACAGGAUUAGAUACCCUGGUAGUCCACACCGUAAACGAUGAACACUAGGUGUUAGGAGGUUUCCGCCUCUUAGUGCCGAAGCUAACGCAUUAAGUGUUCCGCCUGGGGAGUACGACCGCAAGGUUGAAACUCAAAGGAAUUGACGGGGACCCGCACAAGCGGUGGAGCAUGUGGUUUAAUUCGAAGCAACGCGAAGAACCUUACCAGGUCUUGACAUCCUUUGAAGCUUUUAGAGAUAGAAGUGUUCUCUUCGGAGACAAAGUGACAGGUGGUGCAUGGUCGUCGUCAGCUCGUGUCGUGAGAUGUUGGGUUAAGUCCCGCAACGAGCGCAACCCUUAUUGUUAGUUGCCAGCAUUCAGAUGGGCACUCUAGCGAGACUGCCGGUGACAAACCGGAGGAAGGCGGGGACGACGUCAGAUCAUCAUGCCCCUUAUGACCUGGGCUACACACGUGCUACAAUGGCGUAUACAACGAGUUGCCAGCCCGCGAGGGUGAGCUAAUCUCUUAAAGUACGUCUCAGUUCGGAUUGUAGUCUGCAACUCGACUACAUGAAGUCGGAAUCGCUAGUAAUCGCGGAUCAGCACGCCGCGGUGAAUACGUUCCCGGGUCUUGUACACACCGCCCGUCACACCAUGGGAGUUUGUAAUGCCCAAAGCCGGUGGCCUAACCUUUAGGAAGGAGCCGUCUAAGGCAGGAACAGAUGUUGGA
This 1000-nucleotide ribosomal RNA is filed under the name Leuconostoc mesenteroides. RNAcentral's name for it is "bacterial SSU rRNA". It matches the Rfam family "Bacterial small subunit ribosomal RNA", at positions 482 to 1479 of the family's 1533-position model. Lineage: Bacteria; Bacillati; Bacillota; Bacilli; Lactobacillales; Lactobacillaceae. The record is from RNAcentral.